Oncorhynchus keta (chum salmon) is the source of this 627-nucleotide long non-coding RNA. RefSeq lists it as uncharacterized. Lineage: Eukaryota; Metazoa; Chordata; Actinopteri; Salmoniformes; Salmonidae. The transcript has 5 exons. The record is from RefSeq and is a predicted model, not a curated record.
AAGGAUAGAUAAUAGACAGUAACAGCAGUAUACUGUAGGUAGGGGUAAAGGAUAGAUAAUAGACAGUAACAGCAGUAUACUGUAGGUAGGGGUAAAGGAUAGAUAAUAGACAGUAACAGCAGUAUACUGUAGGUAGGGGUAAAGGAUAGAUAAUAGACAGUAACAGCAGUAUACUGUAGGUAGGGGUAAAGGAUAGAUAAUAGACAGUAACAGCAGUAUACUGUAGGUAGGGGUAAAGGAUAGAUAAUAGACAGUAACAGCAGUAUACUGUAGGUAGGGGUAAAGGAUAGAUAAUAGACAGUAACAGCAGUAUACUGUAGGUAGGGGUAAAGGAUAGAUAAUAGACAGUAACAGCAGUAUACUGUAGGUAGGGGUAAAGGAUAGAUAAUAGACAGUAACAGCAGUAUACUGUAGGUUGGGGUAAAGGAUAGAUAAUAGACAGUAACAGCAGUAUACUGUAGGUAGGGGUAAAGGAUAGAUAAUAGACAGUAACAGCAGUAUACUGUAGGUAGGGGUAAAGGAUAGAUAAUAGACAGUAACAGCAGUAUACUGUAGGUAGGGGUAAAGGAUAGAUAAUAGACAGUAACAGCAGUAUACUGUAGGUAGGGGUAAAGGAUAGAUAAUAGA